GCAAGCCUGACGGAGCAACGCCGCGUGAGGGGUGGAGGCCUUUGGGCUGUAAACCUCUUUUCUCAAGGAAGAAGAUCUGACGGUACUUGAGGAAUAAGCCACGGCUAAUUCCGUGCCAGCAGCCGCGGUAAUACGGGAGUGGCAAGCGUUAUCCGGAAUUAUUGGGCGUAAAGCGUCCGCAGGCGGCCGUUUAAGUCUGUUGUUAAAUCGUGGAGCUCAACUCCAUCACGGCAAUGGAAACUGUUCGGCUUGAGUAUGGUAGGGGCAGAGGGAAUUUCCGGUGUAGCGGUGAAAUGCGUAGAUAUCGGGAAGAACACCAGUGGCAAAAGCGCUCUGCUGGGCCAUUACUGACGCUCAUGGACGAAAGCCAGGGGAGCGAAAGGGAUUAGAUACCCCUGUAGUCCUGGCCGUAAACGAUGAACACUAGAUGUUGGGGGAAUCGACCCCCUCGGUGUCGUAGCUAACGCGUUAAGUGUUCCGCCUGGGGAGUACGCACGCAAGUGUGAAACUCAAAGGAAUUGACGGGGGCCCGCACAAGCGGUGGAGUAUGUGGUUUAAUUCGAUGCAACGCGAAGAACCUUACCAAGGCUUGACAUCCUGCGAAUCUCCAAGAAAUUGGAGAGUGCCUUUUGGAACGCAGUGACAGGUGGUGCAUGGCUGUCGUCAGCUCGUGUCGUGAGAUGUUGGGUUAAGUCCCGCAACGAGCGCAACCCACGUUUUUAGUUGCCAGCAUUCAGUUGGGCACUCUAGAAAGACUGCCGGUGACAAACCGGAGGAAGGUGUGGACGACGUCAAGUCAUCAUGCCCCUUACGCCUUGGGCUACACACGUACUACAAUGCUGCGGACAAAGAGUAGCGAUCUUGCGAAAGUUAGCUAAUCUCGUAAACCGUGGCUCAGUUCAGAUCGUAGGCUGCAACUCGCCUACGUGAAGGAGGAAUCGCUAGUAAUCGCAGGUCAGCAUACUGCGGUGAAUACGUUCCCGGGCCUUGUACACACCGCCCGUCACACCAUGGAAGUUGGCC
RNAcentral lists this ribosomal RNA (1023 nucleotides) under uncultured cyanobacterium. Its description in RNAcentral is "bacterial SSU rRNA". It matches the Rfam family "Bacterial small subunit ribosomal RNA", at positions 377 to 1416 of the family's 1533-position model. The record is from RNAcentral. Lineage: Bacteria; Bacillati; Cyanobacteriota.